This is a long non-coding RNA of Alligator mississippiensis (American alligator), 1014 nucleotides long. RefSeq lists it as uncharacterized. The transcript is spliced from 3 exons. NCBI's taxonomy places the organism in Eukaryota, Metazoa, Chordata, Crocodylia, Alligatoridae. The record is from RefSeq and is a predicted model, not a curated record.
GAGGCAGUAAGAACUUUGCAGCAGGAGGGCUGUUGGGGCUGACCAAGCUGUUCUGGGACUGCAAGGGCUAGUUCAGCAGCAGUGUGGACUUGUCCUGGAACACCAUUGUGAGUCGCUCCUGUUUCUGCUGGUUGUCUCGAGGAACAGUUGCUUUCCUAACCCAGAGAUGACCCACAUGUUCAGGAGCUAUUCAUAGAGACUGUACUUCUCUUGAGGCUCCCAUCUGUCUUCCUCAAUGCUUUGUCUCCUUUCUCCUUCCUUUGCUCCUAUAGGCAAAGCAAAGUUGAUGCAGAUUAUACUGAUGUUUCUUUCUCGGAUGUCGGCCUUGGGAAGAGGCAGCCCGAGUAUUUCUUCCCUUCCCCCACUCCCUCUUUCUUGGUGGCAUCUGGCUUCUUGGCUGAGGUCUGCAGGCAGCUAUGUGGCAGCUCUAGACUUGCCUUGGGCAGCUAGCUACAGCUACUGAUGGGGACAUCUAGGUUGCCUUGUCCUAUCUGAAUGUAAUUUUCUUUAACUCCUCUUUGAAUUCAGUGAAAUGUUUCCACAGUCUAUUUCUUUACUUCUAAAAGUGUUUGAGAGUCUCUGAUUUGUUUGUGGGGAAUAAGAGGGAAAUGUAAGAGUUGCCCAAAGACCCUUUGGUUUCAAAACAAGGAAACUCAUCAUCUUUCUUACUUAAAUAAAUAAUAAAAAUAAGUUUUGUUUUUUUUUUAAUUUCUAGGGCAUUUUGUGUUUUGCUGGUGAUGGGAUAAGUUAUUUAGUGGCUCUUUAAACAACCUACACACCUGGACUGCACAGAUUUUGUACCAAACUGCCUUUCUGAAGUUGACAGCAAGGAGCAUUUUUAUUUAAAUUUGAAAAUGGAGCAAUUCCAGGAGCCAAAUUUAAAACCCAGCUGAUGUUAAAGACCUUAAAGAGGAAUAUGUAACAAAGAAAAAUGUCUAACUAUGGGUACCACUUACUUGUCCCAGCCUUCAUCUCCAACCCUGAUUACUGUCAUCUCUACCUCAGCUGACUGCU